UACGGAGGGGGCUAGCGUUGUUCGGAAUUACUGGGCGUAAAGCGCGCGUAGGCGGCUUUGUAAGUUAGAGGUGAAAGCCCGGGCUCAACCCCGGAAAUGCCUUUAAGACUGCAUCGCUUGAAUCCAGGAGAGGUGAGUGGAAUUCCGAGUGUAGAGGUGAAAUUCGUAGAUAUUCGGAAGAACACCAGUGGCGAAGGCGGCUCACUGGCCUGGUAUUGACGCUGAGGUGCGAAAGCGUGGGGAGCAAACAGG
This 252-nucleotide ribosomal RNA is filed under the name uncultured bacterium. RNAcentral's name for it is "partial 16S ribosomal RNA". It matches the Rfam family "Bacterial small subunit ribosomal RNA", at positions 524 to 776 of the family's 1533-position model. The record is from RNAcentral.